UUUCAAUGGAAUUCACAUGUG
This 21-nucleotide non-coding RNA is filed under the name Caenorhabditis elegans. The record is from RNAcentral. Lineage: Eukaryota; Metazoa; Nematoda; Chromadorea; Rhabditida; Rhabditidae.